GACGAACGCUGGCGGCGUGCUUAACACAUGCAAGUCGAACGGAAAGGCCCUGCUUUUGUGGGGUGCUCGAGUGGCGAACGGGUGAGUAACACGUGAGUAACCUGCCCUUGACUUUGGGAUAACUUCAGGAAACUGGGGCUAAUACCGGAUAGGAGCUCCUGCUGCAUGGUGGGGGUUGGAAAGUUUCGGCGGUUGGGGAUGGACUCGCGGCUUAUCAGCUUGUUGGUGGGGUAGUGGCUUACCAAGGCUUUGACGGGUAGCCGGCCUGAGAGGGUGACCGGCCACAUUGGGACUGAGAUACGGCCCAGACUCCUACGGGAGGCAGCAGUGGGGAAUAUUGCACAAUGGGCGGAAGCCUGAUGCAGCAACGCCGCGUGCGGGAUGACGGCCUUUGGGUUGUAAACCGCUUUCGCCUGUGACGAAGCGUGAGUGACGGUAAUGGGUAAAGAAGCACCGGCUAACUACGU
RNAcentral lists this ribosomal RNA (467 nucleotides) under uncultured bacterium. RNAcentral describes it as "partial 16S ribosomal RNA". It matches the Rfam family "Bacterial small subunit ribosomal RNA", at positions 28 to 506 of the family's 1533-position model. The record is from RNAcentral.